CUUGGUCAUUUAGAGGAAGUAAAAGUCGUAACAAGGUUUCCGUAGGUGAACCUGCGGAAGGAUCAUUAGUGAAUUGAAUAUGUUAGCGGACCUCUUCGGAGUCCCUAGCAUCAAAUCAUAUCCAUAACACCUGUGAACUGUAAGGCUGUCUUGAAAACGAAAGUGAUUAGAGCGCCUGCCCAUUUUAUACAAACAUUAAAGUAACAAACGUAGUCUUAUUAUAAUCUAAUAAAACUUUCAACAACGGAUCUCUUGGCUCUCGCAUCGAUGAAGAACGCAGCGAAAUGCGAUAAGUAAUGUGAAUUGCAGAAUUCAGUGGAUCAUCGAAUCUUUGAACGCACCUUGCGCUCUUUGGUAUUCCGAAGAGCAUGCCUGUUUGAGUGUCAUGAAAAUAUCAACCUUGACUUGGGUUUAGUGCUCUUGUCUUGGCUUGGAUUUGGCUGUUUGCCGCUCGAAAGAGUCGGCUCAGCUUAAAAGUAUUAGCUGGAUCUGUCUUUGAGACUUGGUUUGACUUGGCGUAAUAAGUUAUUUCGCUGAGGACAAUCUUCGGAUUGGCCGAGUUUCUGGGACGUUUGUCCGCUUUCUAAUACAAGUUCUAGCUUGCUAGACAUGACUUUUUUAUUAUCUGGCCUCAAAUCAGGUAGGACUACCCGCUGAACUUAAGCAUAUCAAUAAGCGGAGGAAAAGAAACUAACAAGGAUUCCCCUAGUAACGGCGAGUGAAGCGGGAAGAGCUCAAAUUUGAAAUCUGGUGGCCUCAGGCUAUCCGAGUUGUAAUCUAUAGAAACAUUUUCCGCGUUGGCCCAUGUACAAGUCUCUUGGAAUAGAGCGUCAUAGAGGGUGAGAAUCCCGUCCUUGACAUGGACUACCAGUGCUUUGUGAUAUGUUUUCAACGAGUCGAGUUGUUUGGGAAU
This 913-nucleotide small RNA is filed under the name uncultured Cryptococcus. Its description in RNAcentral is "eukaryotic LSU rRNA". The stretch from base 627 to 913 matches the Rfam family "Eukaryotic large subunit ribosomal RNA", at positions 1 to 281 of the family's 3401-position model. Lineage: Eukaryota; Fungi; Basidiomycota; Tremellomycetes. The record is from RNAcentral.